GCCAAAUCAAAUAGCCCAAACCGGGUUUAAAGAAAAAGAAGAAAAAUCUUCCGGUUUUUUUCAUUCUCUCUCUUUCUUCUAGAUUCCUCUGCUCUAUACAGUUUUAUUUUACUCUGACAACAACAAUGGCGGCUUCUACUCGGAGGUCAAGCGGACCGGUAAUCCGUUCACUUUCACCGGCCGGGAAGUUCUAUUCACCUAGCCAGAGGAACUCGUCGUUUUCGUCGACGUCUUCUGCUUUUGCUUCAUCAACUUCCGGUUUUUCUACCGGUUCACAUGCAAUUCUCCACAGAUCUACGUCGCCGAAUCGUGUGAAUUUAUACAGCUCUAGGUCGUCGUCUCCGGCGUCCUCUGUGCGGUUCUCUUUGGAACGUUCAACUUCACCGAGCCGGUCUAUUGCUGCGGUGAACCGGAACCACGUGGUGCAGAAUCGGAGUCAGAAGAAGUCGUGUAUGUGCUCACCGACGACACAUCCAGGUUCGUUCCGAUGUAGUCUACAUAAGAAUAAAAGUGGUUCAGGUUCAACUGGUAGAGGUACGGCGGCUACCUACAGUCCAAAUCAGUUGAUUUUGAGGCGGUCCGCUAUGACGAACUCGCUCGUGAGGAUCGGUACGGUAGAAGGUGAUUUGGUCAAAAGAGCUUUGGCAGCUUUGAUUCGUCCUUCGUCUCAUCAACAACGCCGACGUGCUGAUUUCCAGUGUAGACCUAGCCGGCUCUCCGUCAUGUCCAAAGCCGAUGACUCGUAAGACAUAUUUUCGAUGGAGAAGGACUAAGUGGAGGUCGGAACGGAACGGUUUUUUGUGUACUCCGGUGGCCGAAACCCUAAGAUCCGACUGUGUAUAGACUCUAAUAGUUAAAUAUUUUAAUUUUUUUUACUAUAACAUAAAACUAAAUUCAUGAAAUUUUGGCGUUGCUGUUCAUGAAGCUUCCAUUCUAAAAAACACAGCCUUCUAAG
This 955-nucleotide unclassified non-coding RNA is filed under the name Hevea brasiliensis (rubber tree). Lineage: Eukaryota; Viridiplantae; Streptophyta; Magnoliopsida; Malpighiales; Euphorbiaceae. The record is from RNAcentral.